UACGUAGGCAGCGAGCGUUGUUCGGAGUUACUGGCGUAAAGGGUGUGUAGGCGGUUUUCUAAGUUUGGUGUGAAAUCUCCCGGCUCAACCGGGAGGUGCGCCGAAAACUGGGAGACUAGAGUGCGGGAUGGGAGAGUAGAAUUCCUGGUGUAGCGGUGAAAUGCGUAGAUAUCAGGAGGAAUACCGGUGGUGUAGACGGCUCUCUGGACCGCCACUGACGCUGAGACAGAAGCGUGGGUAGCAAACAGG
Molecule: ribosomal RNA, 249 nt
Filed under: uncultured bacterium
Lineage: Bacteria
Description: partial 16S ribosomal RNA
Rfam family: Bacterial small subunit ribosomal RNA
Source: RNAcentral